GGUGGAGCUGUUGCCCCCCUGGGCCUCCAUGCCUCCAGUGGGCUUCUAGCCAGGGCACUAUCUGAAUGUCCUACCUCUAGCAGGCUUUGCCAAGAGAAACACUCUCUAGAUUUCUGGCAGUUGCAGAUGCAUCUGUGCAGCAUGUUUGAGAACUGGUGCUGUGCCAGGCAUCGUGCACAGAUGGGUACGGACGAUGACUGA
This 201-nucleotide long non-coding RNA is filed under the name Homo sapiens (human). Its description in RNAcentral is "HSALNT0049797". The record is from RNAcentral. Lineage: Eukaryota; Metazoa; Chordata; Mammalia; Primates; Hominidae.